Molecule: long non-coding RNA, 271 nt
Filed under: Lathyrus oleraceus (garden pea)
Lineage: Eukaryota; Viridiplantae; Streptophyta; Magnoliopsida; Fabales; Fabaceae
Description: Pisum sativum (pea) long non-coding RNA (PSAT_LNC025649)
Source: RNAcentral
UUAAUAAAGACCGGAUGGCAUAUUUGUAAAUAUCCGAGCCACUUAAUGAGACACGGUCGUUUUGGCCACGAAAAUGAAAUGUUUCUACUGGUUCAUGGAUGAAUAGUAACAUGCAACACGUGAAAGCAGAAAAUCUGGGCAAGGCAUCAAGAACAAACUAGGGUUUCAUGAACAGGGAGCCAUCUUCAUCUUCCCUAAAUCGACUCACACAAAAAUAUUUCCAGAAACACAAAUUGAGAGCAAUAUCCGAACCAGCCAAGCAUCAACAUCA